RNAcentral lists this ribosomal RNA (495 nucleotides) under uncultured bacterium. RNAcentral describes it as "partial 16S ribosomal RNA". It matches the Rfam family "Bacterial small subunit ribosomal RNA", at positions 28 to 507 of the family's 1533-position model. The record is from RNAcentral.
GAUGAACGCUGGCGGCGUGCCUAAUACAUGCAAGUAGAACGCUGAAGGAGGAGCUUGCUCUUCUGGAUGAGUUGCGAACGGGUGAGUAACGCGUAGGUAACCUGCCUGGUAGCGGGGGAUAACUAUUGGAAACGAUAGCUAAUACCGCAUGACAACAGUUAUUGCAUGAUAACUGUUUAAAAGGGGCAACUGCUCCACUACCAGAUGGACCUGCGUUGUAUUAGCUAGUUGGUGAGGUAACGGCUCACCAAGGCGACGAUACAUAGCCGACCUGAGAGGGUGAUCGGCCACACUGGGACUGAGACACGGCCCAGACUCCUACGGGAGGCAGCAGUAGGGAAUCUUCGGCAAUGGACGGAAGUCUGACCGAGCAACGCCGCGUGAGUGAAGAAGGUUUUCGGAUCGUAAAGCUCUGUUGUAAGAGAAGAACGAGUGUGAGAGUGGAAAGUUCACACUGUGACGGUAGCUUACCAGAAAAGGACGGCUAACUACGUG